UACGAAGGGGGCUAGCGUUGCUCGGAAUCACUGGGCGUAAAGCGCACGUAGGCGGAUUGCUAAGUCAGGGGUGAAAUCCUGGAGCUCAACUCCAGAACUGCCCUUGAUACUGGCGGUCUCGAGUCCGGGAGAGGUGAGUGGAACUGCGAGUGUAGAGGUGAAAUGCGUAGAUAUCGGAAGGAACACCUGUGGCGAAAGCGGCUCACUGGACCAUAACUGACGCUGAGGCGCGAAAGCUAGGGGAGCAAACAGG
RNAcentral lists this ribosomal RNA (253 nucleotides) under uncultured bacterium. RNAcentral describes it as "partial 16S ribosomal RNA". It matches the Rfam family "Bacterial small subunit ribosomal RNA", at positions 524 to 776 of the family's 1533-position model. The record is from RNAcentral.